Arachis ipaensis is the source of this 201-nucleotide non-coding RNA. NCBI's taxonomy places the organism in Eukaryota, Viridiplantae, Streptophyta, Magnoliopsida, Fabales, Fabaceae. The record is from RefSeq and is a predicted model, not a curated record.
CUGCAUAGAUAUAUGGAGUGGAGCCAGCUGAAAGCAAUAUCCUAAAUGGUGGUAAACCUGGUCCACAUCAUAUUACCGGCAAUGGGGUUGGAUUCAAACCAAACAUAUUGGACAUGGAUGUAAUGGAGAAAGUUCUUGAGGUUAGCAGUAAAGAUGCAGUCAACAUGGCCAGGGUGCUGGCCUUGAAGGAAGGAUUCAUGA